AAGCGCACAGCUUCGCAUGGAGGAGUGUGAAAAGUUAUUUCGGUACAAGAUGGACCCGCGUCUGAUUAGCUAGUUGGUGAGGUAACGGCUCACCAAGGCGACGAUCAGUAGCCGACCUGAGAGGGUGACCGGCCACAUUGGGACUGAGACACGGCCCAAACUCCUACGGGAGGCAGCAGUGGGGAAUAUUGCACAAUGGGCGAAAGCCUGAUGCAGCGACGCCGCGUGAGCGAAGAAGUAUUUCGGUAUGUAAAGCUCUAUCAGCAGGGAAGAUAAUGACGGUACCUGACUGAGAAGCACCGGCUAAAUACGUGCCAGCAGCCGCGGUAAUACGUAUGGUGCAAGCGUUAUCCGGAUUUACUGGGUGUAAAGGGAGCGUAGGCGGUUUUACAAGUCUGAUGUGAAAGCCCGCAGCUCAACUGCGGUAUUGCAUUGGAACCUGUAGAACUAGAGUGUCGGAGGGGUAAGUGGAAUUCCUAGUGUAGCGGUGAAAUGCGUAGAUAUUAGGAGGAACACCAGUGGCGAAGGCGGCUUACUGGACGAUUACUGACGCUGAGGCUCGAAAGCGUGGGGAGCAAAC
RNAcentral lists this ribosomal RNA (580 nucleotides) under uncultured rumen bacterium. RNAcentral's name for it is "bacterial SSU rRNA". It matches the Rfam family "Bacterial small subunit ribosomal RNA", at positions 173 to 773 of the family's 1533-position model. The record is from RNAcentral.